Molecule: ribosomal RNA, 330 nt
Filed under: uncultured eukaryote
Lineage: Eukaryota
Description: partial 18S ribosomal RNA
Rfam family: Eukaryotic small subunit ribosomal RNA
Source: RNAcentral
CCCUUAGAUGUUCUGGGCCGCACGCGCGCUACACUGAUGCAUUCAACGAGUCUAAAACCUGGUCUGAUAGGGCUGGGUAAUCUUUUGAAUGUGCAUCGUGAUUGGGAUAGAUGAUUGCAAUUCUUCAUCUUCAACGAGGAAUGCCUAGUAAACGCAAGUCAUCAGCUUGCAUUGAUUACGUCCCUGCCCUUUGUACACACCGCCCGUCGCUCCUACCGAUUGAAUGUUCCGAUGAAUACCACGGACUGAGAGUAUGAAUGGGUUCGCCUAUUUCUGCUUCUCGGGAAGUGGAGUAAAUCUUAACAUUUAGAGGAAGGAGAAGUCGUAACA